AAGCUCGUAGUUGAAUUUCGGGAUUGACACAUCGGUCGUGCCUUAAGGGGCAUGAACUGGUGUAGUCAAUUUCUCACCUUCUGGAGAACCGCGAUGCCCUUAAUUGGGUGUCACGGGGAACCAGGACCUUUACUUUGAAAAAAAUUAGAGUGUUUAAAGCAGGCAUUUUGCUUGAAUACAUUAGCAUGGAAUAAUAAAAUAGGACGGCAUGAUUCUAUUUUGUUGGUUUCUAGGAUCACCGUAAUGAUUAAUAGGGAUAGUUGGG
Molecule: ribosomal RNA, 265 nt
Filed under: uncultured Glomus
Lineage: Eukaryota; Fungi; Glomeromycota; Glomeromycetes; Glomerales; Glomeraceae
Description: partial 18S ribosomal RNA
Rfam family: Eukaryotic small subunit ribosomal RNA
Source: RNAcentral